GACGAACGCUGGCGGCGUGCCUAAUACAUGCAAGUUGAGCGAUGAAGAUUGGUGCUUGCACCAAUUUGAAGAGCAGCGAACGGGUGAGUAACGCGUGGGGAAUCUGCCUUUGAGCGGGGGACAACAUUUGGAAACGAAUGCUAAUACCGCAUAACAACUUUAAACAUAAGUUUUAAGUUUGAAAGAUGCAAUUGCAUCACUCAAAGAUGAUCCCGCGUUGUAUUAGCUAGUUGGUGAGGUAAAGGCUCACCAAGGCGAUGAUACCUAGCCGACCUGAGAGGGUGAUCGGCCACAUUGGGACUGAGACACGGCCCAAACUCCUACGGGAGGCAGCAGUAGGGAAUCUUCGGCAAUGGACGAAAGUCUGACCGAGCAACGCCGCGUGAGUGAAGAAGGUUUUCGGAUCGUAAAACUCUGUUGGUAGAGAAGAACGUUGGUGAGAGUGGAAAGCUCAUCAAGUGACGGUAACUACCCAGAAAGGGACGGCUAACUACG
This 495-nucleotide ribosomal RNA is filed under the name uncultured bacterium. RNAcentral's name for it is "partial 16S ribosomal RNA". It matches the Rfam family "Bacterial small subunit ribosomal RNA", at positions 28 to 505 of the family's 1533-position model. The record is from RNAcentral.